RNAcentral lists this ribosomal RNA (253 nucleotides) under uncultured bacterium. RNAcentral describes it as "partial 16S ribosomal RNA". It matches the Rfam family "Bacterial small subunit ribosomal RNA", at positions 524 to 776 of the family's 1533-position model. The record is from RNAcentral.
UACGUAGGGGGCAAGCGUUGUCCGGAAUUACUGGGCGUAAAGGGCGCGUAGGCGGCAGGCCAAGUCGGGAGUGAAAGCCCGGGGCUCAACUCCGGAAAUGCCAUUGAAACUGUAGAACUUGAGGACGAGAGAGGUGAGUGGAAUUCCCAGUGUAGAGGUGAAAUUCGUAGAUAUUGGGAAGAACACCGGUGGCGAAGGCGGCUCACUGGCUCGUUUCUGACGCUCAGGCGCGAUAGCGUGGGGAUCAAACAGG